This 462-nucleotide ribosomal RNA is filed under the name uncultured organism. RNAcentral's name for it is "bacterial SSU rRNA". It matches the Rfam family "Bacterial small subunit ribosomal RNA", at positions 28 to 507 of the family's 1533-position model. The record is from RNAcentral.
GACGAACGCUGGCGGCGUGCUUAACACAUGCAAGUCGAACGGAAAGGCCCUUCGGGGUACUCGAGUGGCGAACGGGUGAGUAACACGUGGGCAACCUGCCCCUAGCUCUGGGAUAACACCGGGAAACCGGUGCUAAUACCGGAUACACACUUUUUGAGGCAUCUCAGAUGGUGGAAAGUUUUUCGGCUAGGGAUGGGCCCGCGGCCUAUCAGCUUGUUGGUGGGGUAAUGGCCUACCAAGGCGACGACGGGUAGCCGGCCUGAGAGGGCGACCGGCCACACUGGGACUGAGACACGGCCCAGACUCCUACGGGAGGCAGCAGUGGGGAAUAUUGCGCAAUGGGCGAAAGCCUGACGCAGCGACGCCGCGUGAGGGAUGACGGCCUUCGGGUUGUAAACCUCUUUCAGCUCUGACGAAGCGAAAGUGACGGUAGGAGCAGAAGAAGCACCGGCCAACUACGUG